This 455-nucleotide ribosomal RNA is filed under the name uncultured cyanobacterium. Its description in RNAcentral is "bacterial SSU rRNA". It matches the Rfam family "Bacterial small subunit ribosomal RNA", at positions 356 to 795 of the family's 1533-position model. Lineage: Bacteria; Bacillati; Cyanobacteriota. The record is from RNAcentral.
GGGGAAUUUUCCGCAAUGGGCGAAAGCCUGACGGAGCAAUACCGCGUGAGGGAUGACGGCCUAUGGGUUGUAAACCUCUUUUUUCAGGGAGGAAUAAAUGACGUGUACCUGUUUUAGGGAAGGAUAAAUGACGUGUACCUGAAGAAUAAGCAUCGGCUAACUCCGUGCCAGCAGCCGCGGUAAGACGGGGGAUGCAAGUGUUAUCCGGAAUCACUGGGCGUAAAGCGUCUGUAGGUGGUUUGAUAAGUCAACUGUUAAAUCUUGAGGCUUAACCUCAAAAUCGCAGUCGAAACUAUUAGACUAGAGUAUAGUAGGGGUAAAGGGAAUUUCCAGUGGAGCGGUGAAAUGCGUAGAUAUUGGAAGGAACACCGAUGGCGAAGGCACUUUACUGGGCUAUUACUAACACUCAGAGACGAAAGCUAGGGUAGCAAAUGGGAUUAGAUACCCCAGUAGUC